GUCCAGCUAGCUCAGUUGGUAGAGCAUGAGACUCUUAAUUUCAGGGUCAUGGGUUUGAGCCCCAUGUUGGGCA
Heterocephalus glaber (naked mole-rat) is the source of this 73-nucleotide non-coding RNA. NCBI's taxonomy places the organism in Eukaryota, Metazoa, Chordata, Mammalia, Rodentia, Bathyergidae. The record is from Rfam.